RNAcentral lists this ribosomal RNA (497 nucleotides) under uncultured bacterium. RNAcentral's name for it is "partial 16S ribosomal RNA". It matches the Rfam family "Bacterial small subunit ribosomal RNA", at positions 28 to 507 of the family's 1533-position model. The record is from RNAcentral.
GAUGAACGCUGGCGGCGUGCCUAAUACAUGCAAGUCGAGCGAACGGACGAGAAGCUUGCUUCUCUAAUGUUAGCGGCGGACGGGUGAGUAACACGUGGAUAACCUACCUAUAAGACUGGGAUAACUUCGGGAAACCGUAGCUAAUACCGGAUAAUAUUUUGAACCGCAUGGUUCAAUAGUGAAAGACGGUCUUGCUGUCACUUAUAGAUGGAUCCGCGCUGCAUUAGCUAGUUGGUAAGGUAACGGCUUACCAAGGCAACGAUGCAUAGCCGACCUGAGAGGGUGAUCGGCCACACUGGAACUGAGACACGGUCCAGACUCCUACGGGAGGCAGCAGUAGGGAAUCUUCCGCAAUGGGCGAAAGCCUGACGGAGCAACGCCGCGUGAGUGAUGAAGGUCUUCGGAUCGUAAAACUCUGUUAUUAGGGAAGAACAUAUGUGUAAGUAACUGUGCACAUCUUGACGGUACCUAAUCAGAAAGCCACGGCUAACUACGUG